RNAcentral lists this long non-coding RNA (269 nucleotides) under Elaeis guineensis (African oil palm). RNAcentral describes it as "long non-coding RNA (EGUI_LNC074213)". Lineage: Eukaryota; Viridiplantae; Streptophyta; Magnoliopsida; Arecales; Arecaceae. The record is from RNAcentral.
UAUGGCCGUAUUAUGUCUCGAAUUUAGGACGUGAUAUUUUAUAGUUUCAAAGCUUAGGUUAUGAUCAUUGGAGAUUAUGAUAUAAAUGAUUAGGAUAUGAUAGAAUAAUAUCAGAGCUUAGGUUUAAGAUCAUUGAGAUUAUAAAGUGAUAUCAAAACUUUAUGUAUGAUCAAUAGGAUGUGACAGAGUGGAGUAUGAUGGAUAAUAUCAGAGCUUAAGAUUAUGAUCAUUAAGGACGUGAUAGAAUGAUAUAAAGUUUAGGUUAUGAU